AGUCGCAUACCUGAACAUCCAGUAGAAAAUAAAGGUGGCAGUUACGCCAAGACCUCCAGAGAUGAAGAACCCUGCAAGAAUCAGAAAGAAGGUUACAGCAGCUGGGACUAGCACAGGACUGAAAAUCACCAAAAGGGGCGUUGCCAAAACUAGGCCUAUCACUGCUCCAGCCAUUGUCAGCCCCGAUAGAACCAUGAGUGAACCCCCCACGGUGACUGCUGUGGUGGUUUUAAUCACCUGACUAGUUGAGUGCUGUGUCUGCGGCUGGUCAGGGCGGGUUGCCAUUUUUUUCCCAAUUUUUUGUUGGGAUUUUCAGUACAAUGGAUGGAAAUGGAGUUGGGAUGUGAAUUUGAGAAGGGAAAGUGGAGAGAAGGAGCUGGUGGUGUGGAAAAGGAUGUGUAUGUCAUAAAAUAAUACUAAUAACCAAAGCUGGCUGUCGUGGUGGUGUCACGUGAGGGGAGGGUCGAGUGUGACGUGUACGGUGCAUGCAAUGGAUGGUUUGGGUGGCUGACACGUAUGUUUUCCAGGCGGAUAAUCUAGUAAGGGAAACCAACCGCAGGGACGUGGAUGGAAGAUUGUCGUCUCCUGGGCGAUAAUAUUAGGGAUGUAGACCUGCUUCACGGUUUUAGGCUGUUACUAUUUGUUUUUUGAUUUAUAGAUCCUUAGAUGCAAUGAUGCAUAUAUCCUUUAAUACUCUACUAGCAAAAAGUGAACGAAGGAGAUGUGCUUAAUUGAUGUCAGCUCCUCAAUGGGAAGUUCAAAACUGAAAAUAUAUACUUGCUGUAUCUAUAUCGUGUAAGCAAAAUGAAUUUGGCCCUUUUUUGAGAGGUUUGUAAGGAUCAUAAAUAUCUACCUUAGGUUUUAGAAAUCAUUCUACUAGAGCCCAUAUCGUGUAAUGUUGCAAUUUUUUUUUUUUUUUGAAGUAAUAGAUGAUUUUAUUGAUAAACUAGAUUUUAUAGUAUUUGAGCAACGGCCCAUAUCGUGUAAUGUUGUAGUAUUUGCUUGCCUUGAAUAGGAAAAAUGAUCAAAUUCAUUCCUGAACUUUUUUUCUAGAGUCCAUUGAGUCUUUAACUUUCAUUUCUGAUCAAUUUAUUUCUUAAAUUUAAUUUUUAAAUCCAAUUAAGUUCCUUUGCGUCAGUGCCACCACUUAAAAGGAAUCGGAUUUCUAAUUUAAUAGUUAAAUAAGGAUAUUUUAGGAACUUUAGGUAUAAACUGUAAUCAAACUAAGUAAAUUAAAAAAAAUCAAUAAUAUUUGAGGUAUUUUUAAAAAUUUAAAACUUUUUUAAGAUUUUAAAAAUUUUUAAUUAACUUCUUAACCCUUCCCCUACCUAACCUCACGUUGCCAUAGCCACCACUGCCUCCCCUCCCCUCCCGUACCUCACAUCAUCCAUUUCAACAGUUGAUAAGGCAUUCGACAAAUUCAAAGUGCAUUCCAACAAACGAUAAAUAGCCUCUUUCUACUAGCUACCAAUCCCACCGGAUUUUACAGCAACACAAGCAAUUUGCUUUGAAAUGCGUUUGAUAAAUUCAAAACAUCUUGGCAAACCGGUAGAAAAACUAAGGUGGCGUUUGGUUCGCGUGUUGGAAUCGGAUUCGGAUUCGAAAUCAUUCAUCCUGGAUUUGGAAUGGAAUAAAUCAUUCCAAUAAAUUUGUUCGGUUCAGUGCCAGGAAUGUAUAUCAUUACUAUAAUUGAUGUUUGGUUCGUUGCCUCUUUAUAAAUGGGAUAUAAGAAAUUUUUAUUAAUUAAAUAUAUUAGUAUAAAUGUAUUAGUUAAUUUAGUAUAACUAAUUAAUAAUUUCUAUUAGUAAACAUGUAUAAUUAUUAGUUAAUUGAUAAUAUUAUUUAUAUUACAUAGAUUAAUAUACAUUAUAUUAUACAUAUAACUAAUAAUAUCAUUAUUAUAAGUUUGUAACUAAUUAAAUUAAAUAUUAUAUAUAAUUAAAUAUAAUUAUACAAAUGUUAUAAUAUAAAUAUAUAAUUAUAAUCAUAUAACAUAUAUAAAUAUUAAUUAUACUAAUAUUUUACAUAAAUAUAAUGUAUAUUAUAUAUUAAAUAUAAUUAUUAUUAUCUAUUAUUAUAUUUAAAAUAAUAAAGAUAAAUAUAAUUAUAUAAUUUAUUAAUAUUAUAUACAUGUACAUAUUAUAAUUAUAUGCACAUAUAAUAUACAUUUAUAAAUAUAAAUAUAUAUUAUAAAUAUAUUAUUAUACAAUAUUAAUAAAUGUAUAAUAUAUAAUAUAUAAAUAUAAUUAUAUUUAACUAAAUAAUUAUAAUAUUUAUUUAUAUAAUAUACUAAUAUUAUAAUAAAAUAUAUAAUUAUAAUAUAUUAUAUAUGUAUAUAUUAUCAUAUAAUUAUAUAAUUAUGUAAUAAAUAUAAAUAUUAAUUAUACUAAUAUUAUAUAUUAUAAAGUAUAUUAUAUGUUAAAUAUAAUUUUUAUUAUACAUUAUUAUAUUUAUAAUAAUAAAAAAAUAUAAUUAUAUAAUAUAUUAUUAUAUAUACACGUAUAUAUUAUAGUUAUAUGCACAUAUAAUAUACAUUUAUAAAUAUAUAUAAAUAAUAUAAAUAUAUUAGUAUAUAAUAUUAAUAAAUUUAUAUUAUAUAUUUAUAUUAUAUAUUAUAUAUGUCUAUAUAAUAAUUAUAAAUAUAUUAUAUAAUUAUACUAAUAUUAUAAUAAAACAUUAUAAUUAUAAUAGAUAUUAUAUACAUAAUUAUAUAUAUGUAUGUAAUUAUAUAUUAAUUUUUUAAUGGGUGGCGGGACGGGUCCCAUUUGUAAAUGGGAAUCAGACUUGGGUUUUGUCCAAAACCCUUCAAGUUACUAGGAAAUUGAGGAAUUUUAAAUUUUAGGUAUGAUUUCAAAAUCCCGAUUUCGAUAGUAGUAAUCCAAACAACAAUUAUGGGGUUUAUUUCAAUUUUCCAUUUCGAAACCCUGUUACGAAACGCCACCUAAGACUAUUUUUAGAAAUUGUGAAACUAUUAGUGUGAAAGCAGAGGGUGAACAUUAGCCAAAGGCCGGAGUGAUGAUUAUGACAAUGCAGCAAUUGUGGCUAACAAAUGCUCCAGCAACGAUUGCGCAAAUGGCUGGGACUUGUUUUCUCCAUCAGCCAUAAUGGUAGCAAAUGUGAUAAAAUUUGCAUAUUUAUGCUAUUUUUUCUUGAGCCAGAAAGCAUUUGUAGAUUUCCUCUUCAACUUUCUCAAUUAUAAUAUAAACUCAAAGGUGGGGGAAAGAGGGUGGGGAGAGGUGGAAGGAGGUUUGUGGUGGAGAGAGGUGGGUGCUAAUGGAGGUUAGUAAUGGAGGUGGUUAGUAACGGAGGUUGGUACUCUUAUUUAAUUGUUAAAUUAAAAGUCAAAUUGCUUUUAGGCGGUGGCAAUUGCCGUAGAAGGUUUUAAUUGGAUUCGAAAAUUAAAUUUAUGUAUUAAAUUGGGCAAAAAUAAAAAUUAAGAAUUAAAUCGAUCCUCAAAAAAAAUUUAGGAACGAAAUUGUUCAUUUUUCCGUCUUGAAUUUCAUGGCAAGAUUUGUGUGGAAUUACUCUUGGAUACUGUAUGUAGGGAAUCGGUCACUGUAUUCAAAACAAGAUGAUAUGUAAUUUUCAUUCAAAAUGUCUGUGUAAGUUUUACUAUUUGUAAACAUUUAAUUCCUCAGUCUUGAUUCAAUUCCUCUUUUUCUCAUUUCAACUUCUUAAAUCUCAUCUCCCUCUCUUACUUAAUAAUAUGAAUAAAAUUGAUAAAAAAAAAAAAAAAAGAUGAUAUAGGUCUCCACUAGGCCCAUUACGUAUGGGGCAGAAGUUAUCCACAUGAAUACCUCGCAUUUGAAGGUUAUCACUUAUCAGAGGAAGGUAAUGAAUUCUCCUUGGCAGGUGCUUUGUUUUGCUUGGAAUAUUAUAGGUCUCGGUUCCCGGAGCCUUUUCCGAAUCUUGUCGAUACCUAAGCUGUUGCUUUGUUUCUCCCACUGCCCUGCCAGUAUGACGUUUGAAUCCAUUAUCACGUGAAACACGUUUUUAAGUAGAAAACUUGUCAUUUGCAGAGUAAUGCCAGGUCCAGCUGUCUUUCAAUCAAUUAAGUCUGUGUCAUGCUGCCAAUUGUAGCAUCAAUCAUAGUCUAAUUCCAACAAUGACAUUUAUGUUUGAUAAGUUCUAAAACUCGAGCAUUCCUAUCAAGCAGCGUUGGGGGAGAAUUGUUCUCCCGCAGUAGAAAAGAUGUUUGUUUAUGCAGCUAUUUAUGUUGUGAGUUAGAAUUGUCAAUGUACAAUAUAUUUUGCCUUCUUUGUCAUAAAUACCUGACCCGAUACAGAUGCCUUACUCGAGCUUUGAGUAGCUUGAUUCUUUUCCCCAGAGUUGUCGAAUGAGAGCAGGGUCUUUUAAGUUUUUAUGGUUUAUUCUGGGCAAUCUAAGCUAAAUGGUAAUAUACAUUUUUAAACAUGUUCUGAAAAAUAAUUGUAUAAAUCAAAGACAGAACGAAAGAAUCAAACUCAAAUUUUAGAUGAUACGGAGAAGAUUUCUCAAUUGCUCUCUUGGAUAGCUGUUGGGUUGUAAUGAGGAUUGGGUAGUACAAAGGAGCAAGAUUAUUAGAAGUUCAACUACUUGCCAACAGAAUAGUGAUGCUGUACUAUAUAAUAUCCAUUGAAGCUUGAACUGGUGUUGAGCAUUGACUGGUCCAUGUUCUACUUUUUCCUCUUUUAGAUGAACUUCUUUGAUGUUAUGUGCAAUUUUGUCACUUUUCAGUUACCCUGUUAAGUAUCUUCUUGGUGUGUUGUUGACAUGGGGAGUUUAGGAUACGAUAGAAAGGAGCUAUCAGCCUAUCCAAUGCUUAGUCAACUGGAUUUUAUGUUAAUUUCUACCUGCUCAUGUCCACACGACUCGAAAGUUGUCUGCUUCCUAGUUUCUGUCUGCCUGCUCGUGCCCACAUGAUUCGAAAGUAGUCUGUUUCCCUAGUUUCAGUUACGAAACGACUGUUUUUAUGCUUCAGUCAAAGCUGGACGUUCAACUUCUCUUUCUGAGUUAAUCACAUCACAGUUAAAGCUGGACUUUCAACUUCUCUUUCUGAGUUAAUCACAUCGAUUGUCACUGCAGGAUGCAGCUAAGGUUAUUCGGAAGAUGAUUGAGAAAAACCCAGAUUCACUCAACUUCAAUGUGAUGGCCAUUUCUAAAAGGGUUUGAGGAGAAUAGACGAUGCAACAUGAACAUCCAUUGCUGCCAUUGAGAAGUUGACCCACCUGGCUCUACAAGUUUCUUGGCCUAAACCUUGAGGACUGUUAUUUUGCGCUCGUUAUUACAUGUAAUGAUAGAAUCAGUUUUACUAGAAUUAUUAAGCCCUGGAAGAAGCAUGUAAUAACAGAAUCAGUUCUACUAGAAGUAUUAUGCUCUGGAAGAAGUCAGCUGUAACUCACAAAACUAGCAAGUUAUAUGUUUGCCUGAUAAGUAAAUGAUGACUAGUUACUGCCAAAUUUUCUUCAGUACUCUCAACUCGAUGCUGCAGCAAUUUGUAGGGCAAAUUUGCUUCAUUUUCACCUAGGAGAGAGAUCGACAAUAGCCAGUUUGGCAAUAGUGACAGAGAUUCAUUGGAAGGGCCUCACCUUUACAAUUGCCAUUGGCAAUUCUCGACCGCAGUUCGCCUGGGAAGGAGUCGAAAAUAUCCAAUGGCAGUAGUGGCAGAAAUUCAUGGGAACGGGGGUGUUAAUAACAGCGAGUAGCAAUAGCGGCAAUGAGUUGAUUGUUGCAAAACCUCCUACUCUUACUUACAACCUCCCUCAUUUCUACAGCCCACAAGCAAGUCAAAUGUCGCCACAAUUAAUACACAAGAUUCUAGUCUAACACUUCCGUAACAUAAUGGAUCUCAAAAGUUGUAGCUUAGCGGAAUUUUUGUAUAAAAAAUGGUGGUACUCUCUUUCAAUCAAAGAUAUUCGAUCCUAGCUUACAAACUGAUAAUCCAAGAUCAACAAAGUUAAAAUGAAAAAAAAAACCCCACAAAAUAAUCAUAGAAAAAAUAACCAAAAAAAAAAGAAAAAGAAAAAGCAUGGAGUAAGAAGCCUAAAAGAAACACAAAUGUUUUAGCACACAUGAAACGACACAUCCAACUACAAACUCACAGAGCAAGCUGAGCUGAGAGAAACAGCAACCCAUCCCCACUCUCUACAACAGUCACAACAACAAUUAAUUCGCCGAUUAACUAGGAAACAUAAAAAGUCACAAUCCCCCAUAAUUAGAGCACAAAGUUUAUUCAUGCAUCAUCAUACAUCAAUUGCUUGCACAAUAUUCCAUCAAGUAUCUCAAGCUCGGAAACCUUUAAUCUGCUGCAGAGCCUGCUGCCCAAAAUUUUCAGCUUUGUCCUUCAUCUCCUUAGCUGCCUGCUGCCCAAAAUUUUCAGCUUUGUCCUUCAUCUCCUCUAAAUGUUCAGCUUUGUCCUUCAUCUCGUUAGCUACCUGCUGCCCAAAUUGUUCAGCUUUGUCCUUCAUCUCCUUAGCUUCCUGGCGCCCAAAAUCUUCAGCCUUGUCCUUCAUCUCCUUAGCUGCAUCAGCAAUCUUUUCUUUCGCACGAUUCAGCUGAUCUGCACCAAUGGGGUUUUUCCCGGUCGCAUACCUGAACAUCCAAUAGAAAAUAAAGCUGGCACGAGCAAUCUUUUCUCUCACACGAUCCAGCUGAUCUGCACCGAUGGGGUGCUUCCCAGUUGCAUACCUGAACAUCCAAUAGAAAAUAAAGCUAGCAGUUACGCCAAGACCUCCACAUACAAAGAACCCUGCAAGAAUCAGAAAGAUGGUUACAGCAGCUGGGACUAGCACAGGACUGAAAAUCACCAAAAGGGGCGUUGCCAAAACUAGUCCUAUCAGCCCCGACAGAAACAUAAGUGAACCCCCCACGGCGACUGCUGUGGUGGUUUU
This 6869-nucleotide long non-coding RNA is filed under the name Coffea arabica (coffee). RNAcentral's name for it is "long non-coding RNA (CARA_LNC005779)". The record is from RNAcentral. Lineage: Eukaryota; Viridiplantae; Streptophyta; Magnoliopsida; Gentianales; Rubiaceae.